GAUGAACGCUGGCGGCGUGCCUAAUACAUGCAAGUCGAGCGAACAGAUGAGGAGCUUGCUCCUCUGACGUUAGCGGCGGACGGGUGAGUAACACGUGGAUAACCUACCUAUAAGACGGGGAUAACUUCGGGAAACCGGAGCUAAUACCGGAUAAUAUAUUGAACCGCAUGGUUCAAUAGUGAAAGACGGUUUUGCCGUCACUUAUAGAUGGAUCCGCGCCGCAUUAGCUAGUUGGUAAGGUAACGGCUUACCAAGGCAACGAUGCGUAGCCGACCUGAGAGGGUGAUCGGCCACACUGGAACUGAGACACGGUCCAGACCCCUACGGGAGGCAGCAGUAGGGAAUCUUCCGCAAUGAGCGAAAGCCUGACGGAGCAACGCCGCGUGAGUGAUGAAGGUCUUCGGAUCGUAAAACUCUGUUAUUGGGGAAGAACAAAUGUGUAAGUAACUAUGCACGUCUUGACGGUACCUAAUCAGAAAGCCACGGCUAACUACGUG
RNAcentral lists this ribosomal RNA (497 nucleotides) under uncultured bacterium. RNAcentral's name for it is "partial 16S ribosomal RNA". It matches the Rfam family "Bacterial small subunit ribosomal RNA", at positions 28 to 507 of the family's 1533-position model. The record is from RNAcentral.